UUGAGACAAGAAUUAAUAUUCCAAUUUGAUAGAGGGAGAAACUGAAAAGGGAUAUGGGCAGAUCACCUGAUGGGCCUCUGGUAGUGAAGCUGGUGAGUGUCCGCAUCGGUUAAGACUCUUUCAGUUGCUGGGGCAGAAAACCCGAUUCAAACUAAAUAAGAAGGGGAGUGGCUGCUCAUGUAAGCUAAAAUGUUCAGGGGUAGAUCUAGCUUUAGCUGAGUCCUGUUUCAGGGUCCAAAUGAUGUCACAAGGCUCCACUAUUUUGCACUGGUUCCUCUGGGUGGAACACAUUAAUGGGUUCUGCCUGGUGACUUCAGUGGCUUCAGGUUAUCAUCGCUGUAGCAUCUGUUCCAGCAGAAGACAUCAUUCGCUUCCCUGAGCAUGGCGACACAAGUCAGAGAACUGAGCUUUGGUGACAAAUCAAGAGAACGCCCUUCUCCUGCAUGGAGAUACAUCGCCAGACCAACAGAUAAUUCUAGGAUGAAACAAGGAAAGGACAAUUGUAUAUAUGAAGGUGGAGAAGCAUGCAUAUUAUUCCACUGAAAAUACCCUCUGGACCUACGAGAAAGGACUAACCUAAAGUCAAGCACAGAGAAGAGAUAGAUAUCAUCAAAUUAAAAAGUACAAUACAAUUGUGUGCUCUUUUUCCCCAAUAAAAAAUAAAGAAGUGGGGGCUACAACCUCAAAGUGAACAAACAGAGAGAAAGCAGAGAUCCUAAUAUCUGAUGACUUUGAAAGAUCUUUGAAGAGGAACCCAUCUCAGAAUUCAAGAGAGAUCUGAUUUUAAUUCCCAGCUCUACCAUCAAAAAGUCCAGUCUGCUCCCCAGUGUCUCUAAGUGUAGAGAGAGAAAUUCUUACCUUGGCUAUCAGCUAUCACCAAACUUACUAUAGUGAAGAAAUGAAGUUACAAUUAUGACAGGAAUAUCACAAUGCCAUGAGGAUGCAGGAUUUUAUGAUCUAUUCCAAGAAAUAAGAUGAUAAGGAAAGUUUGUAUGCAGUAGAAAGAAUAUGGGAUUUGGAGUCAAAGUUAUGUCCAAAUUCUGAGUUGACCCCUAAUGAACUGUGUUACCUUAUAAGUCAUUUAACACCUCAGCCUUAUUUUUCACAAUCUUACAAUAUCUACUUCAUGGAAUUAUUAUGAAAUAUCAGAUAAUACAUGUAAAGGGUCUACAAUUGUGUAAGGCCCAGAGUGGGUACUCAAUGAAGAUUAGGUAUUAUUGAAAAGUGUUAAAUAAAACAUAUGAGGCGAAGAAGGCAGAAUGCAGAACUAAUAUUAUGAUCUAGUUUGUGAGAACUUCAUCCUCCUAGCACCAUGAAUAGAUUACUUACCGUGGAGAGGAACAUAAACUUCAGGAU
Molecule: long non-coding RNA, 1356 nt
Filed under: Equus asinus (donkey)
Lineage: Eukaryota; Metazoa; Chordata; Mammalia; Perissodactyla; Equidae
Description: lncRNA (ENSEASG00005036589.1)
Source: RNAcentral